GUCCACGCCGUAAACGAUGAGUGCUAGGUGUCACGGGCUUUGACUCUCGUGGUGCCGCAGCUAACGCAUUAAGCACUCCGCCUGGGAAGUACGGCCGCAAGGCUAAAACUCAAAGGAAUUGACGGGGGCCCCGCACAAGCGGUGGAGCAUGUGGUUUAAUUCGACGCAACGCGAAGAACCUUACCUGGGCUAGAAAAUGCAAGAAUCUGGGAGAAGUCUCGGAGUGCUCUUCGGAGAACUUGUAGUUAGGUGCUGCAUGGCUGUCGU
RNAcentral lists this ribosomal RNA (267 nucleotides) under uncultured bacterium. RNAcentral's name for it is "partial 16S ribosomal RNA". It matches the Rfam family "Bacterial small subunit ribosomal RNA", at positions 793 to 1055 of the family's 1533-position model. The record is from RNAcentral.